ACCUUAUGAUUUGGACAUUGAGCUAGCUUUCCAUUAAACCUCUCCCACACUUCAAACUAGGGUUCUUCAUUUAAUUGCCUAAAGUUUAAAAUCUCAUCCCACUU
Molecule: non-coding RNA, 104 nt
Organism: Capsicum annuum
Lineage: Eukaryota; Viridiplantae; Streptophyta; Magnoliopsida; Solanales; Solanaceae
Source: Rfam